RNAcentral lists this transfer RNA (74 nucleotides) under Caudoviricetes sp. Its description in RNAcentral is "tRNA-Gly". It matches the Rfam family "tRNA". Rfam says of the family: Transfer RNA (tRNA) molecules are approximately 80 nucleotides in length. Their secondary structure includes four short double-helical elements and three loops (D, anti-codon, and T loops). Further hydrogen bonds mediate the characteristic L-shaped molecular structure. tRNAs have two regions of fundamental functional importance: the anti-codon, which is responsible for specific mRNA codon recognition, and the 3' end, to which the tRNAs corresponding amino acid is attached (by aminoacyl-tRNA synthetases). tRNAs cope with the degeneracy of the genetic code in two manners: having more than one tRNA (with a specific anti-codon) for a particular amino acid; and 'wobble' base-pairing, i.e. permitting non-standard base-pairing at the 3rd anti-codon position. The record is from RNAcentral. Lineage: Duplodnaviria; Heunggongvirae; Uroviricota; Caudoviricetes.
GUGGGUGUAGUUUAAUGGUAGAACGCUAGGUUUCCACUCUAGUAGUGUGAGUUCAAUUCUCACUAUCCACUCCA